CUGGCUCAGAACGAACGCUGGCGGCGUGCUUAACACAUGCAAGUCGGAUGCGAACGGCGCUUUCGGGCGUUGAGUAGCAUGGCAGACGGGUGAGGAGCGCGUAUCUGACUGGACUCAGGCUGGGGGAUAGUCCCUCGAAAGGGGGUUGAAUACCGCAUGUGCUCGGUGCUGUGAGGGCAUCGAGGAAAGUUGGCCUCUGCGGGCACGCUGAUGGCCUGAGACAGGGAUGCGUCCUAUUAGCUAGCUGGUGGGGUAAGGGCCUACCAGGGCGACGAUGGGUAGCUGGUCUGAGAGGAUGAUCAGCCACACUGGGACUGCGACACGGCCCAGACUCCUACGGGAGGCAGCAGUGGGGAAUUUUGCGCAAUGGGCGCAAGCCUGACGCAGCAACGCCGCGUGCAUGACGACGCCUUUCGAGGUGUAAAGUGCUGUCGACCGGGACGAAGGGGCGAGGGUGAACAGCUUUCGCGCAUGACGGUACCGGUGGAGGAAGCCCCGGCUAACUCCGUGCCAGCAGCCGCGGUAAGACGGAGGGGGCGAGCGUUGUUCGGAAUUACUGGGCGUAAAGCGCGCGUAGGCGGUGCAGCAAGUGGUGCGUGAAAGCCCUCGGCUUAACCGGGGACGGGCGUGCCAAACUGUUGGACUGGAGUGCCGGAGGGGGAGGCGGAAUUCCUGGUGGAGCGGUGAAAUUGCCGUAGAGAUCAGGAAGAACGUCGGUGGCGAAGGCGGCCUCCUGGACGGACACUGACGCUGAGGUGUGACAGCGUGGGGAGCGAACGGGAUUAGAUACCCCGGUAGUCCACGCCGUAAACGAUGGGUAC
Molecule: ribosomal RNA, 821 nt
Filed under: uncultured organism
Description: bacterial SSU rRNA
Rfam family: Bacterial small subunit ribosomal RNA
Source: RNAcentral